This 143-nucleotide small RNA is filed under the name Arabidopsis thaliana (thale cress). RNAcentral describes it as "ATSL112380". Lineage: Eukaryota; Viridiplantae; Streptophyta; Magnoliopsida; Brassicales; Brassicaceae. The record is from RNAcentral.
UAGAACAUAAUUGAACAAACAAAUAAAUCUUUUUACUUCUGGCUUUGGAAGAACUAAUUUAGAAGGCGAAUCGUCCUAUUUGCAUGUAAGGCAAGAAAGUCUUCUUCUUCAAAUCUUUCGUUUCUGCUUUCUUAGACAUGUAA